GUAGGUGGCAAGCGUUGUCCGGAAUUAUUGGGCGUAAAGCGCGCGCAGGCGGUUCUUUAAGUCUGAUGUGAAAGCCCACGGCUCAACCGUGGAGGGUCAUUGGAAACUGGAGAACUUGAGUACAGAAGAGGAAGCGGAAUUCCACGUGUAGCGGUGAAAUGCGUAGAGAUGUGGAGGAACACCAGUGGCGAAGGCGGCUUUCUGGUCUGUAACUGACGCUGAGGCGCGAAAGCGUGGGGAGCAAACAGGAUUAGAUACCCUGGUAGUCCACGCCGUAAACGAUGAGUGCUAAGUGUUAGGGGGGUUUUCCGCCCCCCUUAGUGCUGCAGCUAACGCAUUAAGCACUCCGCCUGGGAGUACGGCCGCAAGGCUG
This 373-nucleotide ribosomal RNA is filed under the name uncultured organism. RNAcentral describes it as "partial 16S ribosomal RNA". It matches the Rfam family "Bacterial small subunit ribosomal RNA", at positions 527 to 896 of the family's 1533-position model. The record is from RNAcentral.